GACGAACGCUGGCGGCGUGCUUAACACAUGCGAGUCGUACGGUAAGGCCCUUUCGGGGGUACACGAGUGGCGAACGGGUGAGUAACACGUGAGUAACCUGCCCACAACUUUGGGAUAACGCUAGGAAACUGGUGCUAAUACUGGAUAUGUGCUCCUGCUGCAUGGUGGGGGUUGGAAAGCUCCGGCGGUUGUGGAUGGACUCGCGGCCUAUCAGCUUGUUGGUGGGGUAGUGGCCUACCAAGGCGGCGACGGGUAGCCGGCCUGAGAGGGUGACCGGCCACAUUGGGACUGAGAUACGGCCCAGACUCCUACGGGAGGCAGCAGUGGGGAAUAUUGCACAAUGGGCGCAAGCCUGAUGCAGCAACGCCGCGUGCGGGAUGACAGCCUUCGGGUUGUAAACCGCUUUCAGCAGGGACGAAGCUUUUUGUGACGGUACCUGCAGAAGAAGCACCGGCUAACUACGUG
This 465-nucleotide ribosomal RNA is filed under the name uncultured bacterium. RNAcentral's name for it is "partial 16S ribosomal RNA". It matches the Rfam family "Bacterial small subunit ribosomal RNA", at positions 28 to 507 of the family's 1533-position model. The record is from RNAcentral.